RNAcentral lists this ribosomal RNA (468 nucleotides) under uncultured bacterium. Its description in RNAcentral is "partial 16S ribosomal RNA". It matches the Rfam family "Bacterial small subunit ribosomal RNA", at positions 28 to 507 of the family's 1533-position model. The record is from RNAcentral.
GACGAACGCUGGCGGCGUGCUUAACACAUGCAAGUCGAACGGAAAGGCCCUGCUUUUGUGGGGUGCUCGAGUGGCGAACGGGUGAGUAACACGUGAGUAACCUCCCCUUACCUUGGGGAUAACUUCGGAAAACUGGGGCUAAUACCGAUUAGAGGCUCCGGCUGCAGGUGGGGGGUGGGAAGGUUUCGGCGGUUGGGGAUGUACUCGCGGCUUAUCAGCUUGUUGGUGGGGUAGUGGCUUACCAAGGCUUUGACGGGUAGCCGGCCUGAGAGGGUGACCGGCCACAUUGGGACUGAGAUACGGCCCAGACUCCUACGGGAGGCAGCAGUGGGGAAUAUUGCACAAUGGGCGGAAGCCUGAUGCAGCAACGCCGCGUGCGGGAUGACGGCCUUCGGGUUGUAAACCGCUUUCGCCUGUGACGAAGCGUGAGUGACGGUAAUGGGUAAAGAAGCACCGGCUAACUACGUG